This 389-nucleotide unclassified non-coding RNA is filed under the name soil metagenome. RNAcentral describes it as "partial contains 5.8S ribosomal RNA, internal transcribed spacer 2, and large subunit ribosomal RNA". The stretch from base 1 to 122 matches the Rfam family "5.8S ribosomal RNA", at positions 35 to 154 of the family's 154-position model. The record is from RNAcentral.
GAUGAAGAACGUAGCGAAAUGCGAUACUUGGUGUGAAUUGCAGAAUCCCGUGAACCAUCGAGUCUUUGAACGCAAGUUGCGCCCGAAGCCAUUAGGCCGAGGGCACGCCUGCCUGGGCGUCACACGUCGUUGCCCCCCCAUCUACUCCUUCGGGAUUGCGGGGGGCGGAUGAUGGCCUCCCGUGCGCCUCGUCGCGCGGUUGGCAUAAAUGCCAAGUCCUCGGCGACACACGCCACGACAAUCGGUGGUUGCGAAACCUCGGUUGCCCGUCGUGUGCGGUCGUCGCGCAUCGAGGGCUCGAAAAAAUUGCCGGGCUCCGGCUCGGCUUUCAACGCGACCCCAGGUCAGGCGGGGUUACCCGCUGAAUUUAAGCAUAUCAAUAAGCGGAG